RNAcentral lists this long non-coding RNA (450 nucleotides) under Pongo abelii (Sumatran orangutan). Its description in RNAcentral is "lincRNA". Lineage: Eukaryota; Metazoa; Chordata; Mammalia; Primates; Hominidae. The record is from RNAcentral.
GUUAGCGGGAGAGGCAGAGACGUUCAGAGGUCUUUUAGGAUGCGCUAAAGGGUCGUGAGGGCUCUCUUAAGAUUUUCUUCACAAGAGGUUAUCCAGUCGUGCCCCGCGGCCCAGCCGCUGGCCCCGGGGAUCUGAGUCGUACCCUCUUGUUUUUCUCUGAGUCAGUCUUAAGGUGAAAUGAAGUGUGGCCCAGUGGCUCCUCACUGUCGCUUCUCUAGUUUUCUGCCUCGUUUUAGAAAAUGUGCUAAAGACCAUACAGACAAGAGCAGACAGGCCACCUUUGCAACCACAUGGAGGUUUGUCUGAUAUUGAAGCUAAAGAAGCUAAGCUGGAAGACAGAGAGACCAAGUCCUGAUGACAUUGUUUGAACCCAGAGAUCCAUACAUGCCUGAAAACUAGUUUUACCACUGGACUUAUCCGUUGAAUGAGCCAAUAAACUGUCUUUUAUAC